Molecule: ribosomal RNA, 465 nt
Filed under: uncultured bacterium
Lineage: Bacteria
Description: partial 16S ribosomal RNA
Rfam family: Bacterial small subunit ribosomal RNA
Source: RNAcentral
GAUGAACGCUGGCGGCGUGCUUAACACAUGCAAGUCGAACGAUGAAGCCCAGCUUGCUGGGUGGAUUAGUGGCGAACGGGUGAGUAACACGUGAGUAACCUGCCCUUAACUCUGGGAUAAGCCUGGGAAACUGGGUCUAAUACCGGAUAGGAGCGUCCACCGCAUGGUGGGUGUUGGAAAGAUUUAUCGGUUUUGGAUGGACUCGCGGCCUAUCAGCUUGUUGGUGAGGUAAUGGCUCACCAAGGCGACGACGGGUAGCCGGCCUGAGAGGGUGACCGGCCACACGGGGACUGAGACACGGCCCAGACUCCUACGGGAGGCAGCAGUGGGGAAUAUUGCACAAUGGGCGCAAGCCUGAUGCAGCGACGCCGCGUGAGGGAUGACGGCCUUCGGGUUGUAAACCUCUUUCAGUAGGGAAGAAGCGAAAGUGACGGUACCUGCAGAAGAAGCACCGGCUAACUACGU